UACUUUAUUGGAGGGAUUGCUGAACACAAAUGGUUAUAUGAAUGCCAAUGUACAGAUGCAGAUGCAAAACAUUUCUAGGCAGAGGGUGCAACUUGGAAAAAAAUGGUAGCCAUAAUCCUGUGCUGUUGCGUGCUUCUUUUACUGCUGUUUCCCAGUGAUUUACUAAACAGUAGAAGAAAGCUCGAUUCAUAUGACGUCCAUGAGAUGUUGAAAAGAAAACAAAGAGAGUGGUGUGGAUAUCAGCGAGUUUGUUGUCUUCAACGCUGUCAUUAGAUAGAUAUUCCUUGAACAGAGAAGAAUCAAUUAAAAAUUAAUGAAUGCCUAGAUCAGCGAAACCGAGCUGAAAUACAUCUGAUUUUAUUGAUAAUCCCGCAAUUAACUGCAUGCAUAUAAUGGCUAGAUUCAGGAGAAAAAACUGAAGGCAAAAAAAGAAAGAAAAAAAGGUCUAUGACAUAAUCAAUAAACAUCAGUGAUCAUUAGUGGCUAGAUUAUUAAUUAUGGUUGUGAUUAAUUGAUUUUCACCUUCUAUGAAUGAUGUUGCAGCUUUCAUAUCCGGCCGUCCUCACCAUGAUUAGACAUGCCAGAUCGUCAUGGCAACCAUGCAAAUUAGUGCUGCGGAUAUUAAUGAGCAAAAUUGUUCACUGUUUCAUUGCUUUAGAUAAAAAUAAUAAUGCCCCAGCAGAGAAUGGGGCCUUGGGACAGACAAUGACAGACAUAUUGCAACGAAAUCUACCUAGCUAAUUGCAUUUCUUUAUUCUGUGUGUAAUCACGUUUUGUUAAAAUUCAUUUGUAAUGUGAGACCUCAUUGUAUGCCGGAUGAACUAGAGAAUUUCAUUAAAUAAAUAAUUGGUUUA
Molecule: long non-coding RNA, 854 nt
Organism: Gigantopelta aegis
Lineage: Eukaryota; Metazoa; Mollusca; Gastropoda; Neomphalida; Peltospiridae
Exons: 3
Source: RefSeq, a predicted model, not a curated record